AGCUUUAAGUUAUUAAUUUAAGGUUAAACCUGCCCACUGUAUUAAUAUAAAUGGCCGCGGUACUUUGACCGUGCUAAGGUAGCGCAAUCAAUUGGCUUUUAAUUGGAGUCAGGAAUGAAUGGAAUAACGUGAUUAAUCUGUCUCUAAAUUAAUUAUUUGAAAUUACUUUAUAGGUGAAAAAGCCUUUAGUAAAGAAAAAAGACGAGAAGACCCUAAGAAUUUCUCUUAAUAUAAAAUAUUUUUAUAACAGUUUCGUUGGGGCAACAUAGGAGCAUAAGUUAAUUAAAUAAUCUCCUAAAUUACACUAACCGAUUAUUUUAAAUUUGAAUAAAUUACCUUAGGGAUAACAGCAUUAUGUAAAAAAUAAGUUUGUGACCUCGAUGUUGGACUGGGACACUAAAAGGCUAGCCGUUUUUUAGGAAAGCUCUGUUCGAGCUAUAAUUCCC
Molecule: ribosomal RNA, 446 nt
Filed under: Mexichromis trilineata
Lineage: Eukaryota; Metazoa; Mollusca; Gastropoda; Nudibranchia; Chromodorididae
Description: partial 16S ribosomal RNA
Rfam family: Bacterial large subunit ribosomal RNA
Source: RNAcentral